GAUGAACGCUGGCGGCGUGCCUAAUACAUGCAAGUCGAGCGAACGGACGAGAAGCUUGCUUCUCUGAUGUUAGCGGCGGACGGGUGAGUAACACGUGGAUAACCUACCUAUAAGACUGGGAUAACUUCGGGAAACCGGAGCUAAUACCGGAUAAUAUUUUGAACCGCAUGGUUCAAAAGUGAAAGACGGUCUUGCUGUCACUUAUAGAUGGAUCCGCGCUGCAUUAGCUAGUUGGUAAGGUAACGGCUUACCAAGGCAACGAUGCAUAGCCGACCUGAGAGGGUGAUCGGCCACACUGGAACUGCGACACGGUCCAGACUCCUACGGGAGGCAGCAGUAGGGUGUCUUCCGCAAUGGGCGAAAGCCUGACGGAGCAACGCCGCGUGAGUGAUGAAGGUCUUCGGAUCGUAAAACUCUGUUAUUAGGGAAGAACAUAUGUGUAAGUAACUGUGCACAUCUUGACGGUACCUAAUCAGAAAGCCACGGCUAACUACGUGCCAGCAGCCGCGGUAAUACGUAGGUGGCAAGCGUUAUCCGGAAUUAUUGGGCGUAAAGCGCGCGUAGGCGGUUUUUUAAGUCUGAUGUGAAAGCCCACGGCUCAACCGUGGAGGGUCAUUGGAAACUGGAAAACUUGAGUGCAGAAGAGGAAAGUGGAAUUCCAUGUGUAGCGGUGAAAUGCGCAGAGAUAUGGAGGAACACCAGUGGCGAAGGCGACUUUCUGGUCUGUAACUGACGCUGAUGUGCGAAAGCGUGGGGAUCAAACAGGAUUAGAUACCCUGGUAGUCCACGCCGUAAACGAUGAGUGCUAAGUGUUAGGGGGUUUCCGCCCCUUAGUGCUGCAGCUAACGCAUUAAGCACUCCGCCUGGGGAGUACGACCGCAAGGUUGAAACUCAAAGGAAUUGACGGGGACCCGCACAAGCGGUGGAGCAUGUGGUUUAAUUCGAAGCAACGCGAAGAACCUUACCAAAUCUUGACAUCCUUUGACAACUCUAGAGAUAGAGCCUUCCCCUUCGGGGGGGCAAAGUGACAGGUGGUGCAUGGUUGUCGUCAGCUCGUGUCGUGAGAUGUUGGGUUAAGUCCCGCAACGAGCGCAACCCUUAAGCUUAGUUGCCAUCAUUAAGUUGGGCACUCUAAGUUGACUGCCGGUGACAAACCGGAGGAAGGUGGGGAUGACGUCAAAUCAUCAUGCCCCUUAUGAUUUGGGCUACACACGUGCUACAAUGGACAAUACAAAGGGCAGCGAAACCGCGAGGUCAAGCAAAUCCCAUAAAGUUGUUCUCAGUUCGGAUUGUAGUCUGCAACUCGACUACAUGAAGCUGGAAUCGCUAGUAAUCGUAGAUCAGCAUGCUACGGUGAAUACGUUCCCGGGUCU
RNAcentral lists this ribosomal RNA (1373 nucleotides) under uncultured bacterium. RNAcentral's name for it is "bacterial SSU rRNA". It matches the Rfam family "Bacterial small subunit ribosomal RNA", at positions 28 to 1381 of the family's 1533-position model. The record is from RNAcentral.